RNAcentral lists this long non-coding RNA (959 nucleotides) under Homo sapiens (human). Its description in RNAcentral is "non-protein coding lnc-PIGP-6:1". The record is from RNAcentral. Lineage: Eukaryota; Metazoa; Chordata; Mammalia; Primates; Hominidae.
GGGGUCACGCGCAGCCGGAAGUGGCGGCUGCUGCGGAGAAUUGGAGAUGGGGACCGCCCUGGACAUCAAGAUUAAAAGAGCGAAUAAAGUUUAUCACGCCGGGGUGAGUGAAUUAUUGUAAGGCAAACCCUUGUAACCCUACCCACAUCCUGCUGGAGAGGAGACUGGAAGUAGGAUCACUCCAUCUAGAUUCUGGGAGAAGACCCUGCUCCAAAGGACCUUGAUGAGGUUUCAUGGUUUGGUAACCUCAUGCACUGUGGGAAUGUCAGAGGACCCCGAGAUAAUGCUUCACUGCCAAGUCUGAAAAUUGUGUCCACAAGAUUUGAUUGGUAGUAUUUUCUAUCAUUGUACAACUUAAAAUAUCUUCUAAUUUCCAUUUUUUUUUUUGACAUGAGUUGUAUAGAAAUGUGUGCUUCAGUUUCUGUUAUAGCAACAACUCUUGUCACCCAUAGCCUUACAAAAAUUCCUAAUUUUAAUAUUUAAAUUUUAGAAACUUUCUUACAAGCAGAAUUACAAAAAGAGUAACUAACAAGAAAGUGAGAUUGUGAUGGGAUAACGGAAUGUCAAGUCUAAUUGUCAGGAAAAGACAAAAUAACAUGGGAAUGACAAUCAAAAUGGACUAAGGACUUAGAAGAUCCGAAACUAUGAAGCUACUAAAAGAAACAUUGGGGAAUGCUCCAGGACAUUGGUCUGGGCAAAGAUUUCUUGAGCAAUACCUUAAAAGGACAGGCAACCCAAGCAAAAAUGGACAGAUGGGAUCACAUCAAGCUAAAAAACUUCUACACAGCGAAGGAAACAAAGUGAACAGAAUAACAUGGGAAUGUUUUCUGUAAUUUAGUAGUAACUGGCAAUAGUUUACAAACACAUUUUGUGUAUACUGCUGUCAUUGCACUGAUUACCUUCUGUUGUAGUGACUUUGUUCUAUUAGUCCACUCAAUUAAAAUAUUUGGUUUUGUUUA